AGUUGACAUUUUACAAUCUUCGCGAUCACUACUUUUGUCUGAUAAUUAACUUAACCUUUCGACCCCGUAUAUAGAGAGUGUGUGUGUCGCCGUCAGUUCCCUGUUGGAUUAUAUCAUCUCUAGGUGUCCAGCAGGUUGUAUCAUCUAUUUAAUAUUCAAUUGCUUAAUAAAUAUUUAUUUAUAUCGUUGUUAACCUAAAGUGUUAUAUAUAGUGAAACCACGACUUCAACAUCUUCGUAUAAUUUCGUAUGUAGCGACUUGAUCACUGAGACAUCAAAUUAUCACGAUUCGUGCAUAUUUAUGUUCUAUCCGCCCUUUGUUGUCAACCAUUGG
Molecule: long non-coding RNA, 333 nt
Organism: Daktulosphaira vitifoliae (grape phylloxera)
Lineage: Eukaryota; Metazoa; Arthropoda; Insecta; Hemiptera; Phylloxeridae
Exons: 2
Source: RefSeq, a predicted model, not a curated record